CCCUUAGAUGUUCUGGGCCGCACGCGCGCUACACUGAUGCAUUCAACGAGUCUAAAACCUGCUCUGAUAGGGGUGGGUAAUCUUUUGAAUGGGCAUCGUGAUUGGGAUAGAUGAUUGCAAUUCUUCAUCUUCAACGAGGAAUGCCUAGUAAACGCAAGUCAUCAGCUUGCAUUGAUUACGUCCCUGCCCUUUGUACACACCGCCCGUCGCUCCUACCGAUUGAAUGAUCCGAUGAAUAUCAUGGAUUGAGGAUGCAAGUAGGUUAGCCUAUCUUCAUCUUCGAGAAGUGAAGUAAAUCUUAUCAUUUAGAGGAAGGAGAAGUCGUAACA
Molecule: ribosomal RNA, 329 nt
Filed under: uncultured eukaryote
Lineage: Eukaryota
Description: partial 18S ribosomal RNA
Rfam family: Eukaryotic small subunit ribosomal RNA
Source: RNAcentral